This 253-nucleotide ribosomal RNA is filed under the name uncultured bacterium. Its description in RNAcentral is "partial 16S ribosomal RNA". It matches the Rfam family "Bacterial small subunit ribosomal RNA", at positions 524 to 776 of the family's 1533-position model. The record is from RNAcentral.
UACGAAGGGGGCUAGCGUUGCUCGGAAUUACUGGGCGUAAAGCGCACGUAGGCGGCUCUUUAAGUCGGGGGUGAAAUCCUGGAGCUCAACUCCAGAACUGCCUUCGAUACUGAAGAGCUCGAGUCCGGGAGAGGUGAGUGGAACUGCGAGUGUAGAGGUGAAAUUCGUAGAUAUUGGGAAGAACACCGAUGGCGAAGGCAGCCAUCUGGACCGACACUGACGCUGAGGCGCGAAAGCGUGGGGAGCAAACAGG